GCUGGGCGUGGUGGCACGCGCCUGUAGUCCCAGCUACUGGGGAAGCUGAGGUGGGAGGAUCACCUGAGCUCAGGAAGGUCGAGGCUGCAGUGAGCUGUGAUUACAUCACUGCACUCCAGCCUGGGCAACAGAGUGAGAACCUAUCUCAA
Nomascus leucogenys (northern white-cheeked gibbon) is the source of this 149-nucleotide non-coding RNA. It matches the Rfam family "Metazoan signal recognition particle RNA". Rfam says of the family: The signal recognition particle (SRP) is a universally conserved ribonucleoprotein. It is involved in the co-translational targeting of proteins to membranes. The record is from Rfam. NCBI's taxonomy places the organism in Eukaryota, Metazoa, Chordata, Mammalia, Primates, Hylobatidae.